CUCAGAUGUAUCCCUCUGCCGCGGAGUGAUACCAAUAUAUUACAGCGAUCCAAUAUAGUGAAACAUAACGUUUAUGUCUAAGAGUUAGAAAGUGUUCCCACUACAACAAACAAAUACUUAAAUACAUGUAAUUUUGUCCUUGCAAUAUUUAAUUGAAAUACUGUAGAAUUAUAUUCAUUCCUAUGGAGGACUGCUCCUACGCAAGGUUUUUCCACCUUUUAAUGGGGCGAUUGGUGGCUAAUCGGGUGCACCACUGGGGAGUGCCAAUAUAACCGACAGGUGGUUUCAAAGGCUCUCAUUGGCCGAUACAUAGCAUGCGCAAUCCAGGGUUUACAUACGUCAUUGGAAUAAAUGGACCCGUCUCGGAUGCCGUACUAAACCCGGACAGGAUGUGGCUUUGAAUUACGUUACAUGAAUUUGUUAGCUAAGAACAACGACUUGUAAGCAUAAUGACAAAAACAUGUUGCCCCAAGAAAAAAUAGCUUUUGUAUCAAAGUAGAGGAUCGUGGCGGGGAUGUGGCUACGUUAUGGGAAACGUUUUCGGGAGAAAGAGUCGCCCUUCUCGAGUCACAGAACAAGACCGAGCGAUUCUGCAACUGAAACAGCAGAGAGAUAAACUGAAGCACUACCAGAAGAGAGUCACCCUGCAGCUGGAGAAGGAGAGGAGUCUGGCCAAGCAGCUGCUGAAGGAUGGAAAGAAAGAGAAGGCACUGGUUCUUCUCAAGAAGAAGCGUUAUCAGGAUCAACUGCUAGACAAGACUGAGACCCAGAUAUCAAACCUGGAACGCAUGGUUCAAGACAUUGAGUUUGUCCAGAUCGAGAUGAAAGUCAUUGAGGGGCUGAAGGUUGGAAAUGACUGUCUGAAGAGUAUGCAUGAGGCCAUGUCACUAGAGGAUGUGGAGAGGAUCAUGGAUGAGACCCAGGAUGCUAUAGAAUACCAGAGGCAAAUAGAUGAGAUGCUGUCAGGCUCCCUGACUCAGGAGGAUGAGGAUGCUGUGCUAUCUGAGCUGGAGGCUAUCACUCAGGGAGAAGAUGUAGAACUUCCAGAGGUCCCCACUGAGCCUCUACCAGAGGUCCCAGAACCAGCUGAAACAGAGCCAGAGAGAAGACCAGCAAGGAACAAGGAGAACAGAGAGAUGCUGGCAGCGUAGAGACAAGACUUAACAAUAACAACAGUAGCUGGAGUUAGUCCAACUGACUCAAUAACAACAAUAUCAACAGUAGCUGUGGAUGGAGCUAGUCCAACUGACAACAAUAACAACAGUAGCUGUGGAUGGAGCUAGUCCAACUGACUCAACAACAACAAUAUCAACAGUAGCUGUGGAUGGAGCUAGUCCAACUGACUCAACAACAACAAUAACAACAGUAGCUGUGGAUGGAGCUAGUCCAACUGACUCAACAACAACAAUAACAACAGUAGCUGUGGAUGGAGUUAGUCCAACUGACUCAACAACAACAAUAUCAACAGUAGCUGUGGAUGGAGUUAGUCCAACUGACUCAAUAACAACAAUAUCAACAGUAGCUGUGGAUGGAGUUAGUCCAACUGACUCAACAACAACAAUAACAGCAGUAGCUGUGGAUGGAGCUAGUCCAACUGACAACAAUAACAGUAGCUGUGGAUGGAGUUAGUCCAACUGACUCAACAACAACAAUAUCAACAGUAGCUGUGGAUGGAGUUAGUCCAACUGACUCAAUAACAACAAUAUCAACAGUAGCUGUGGAUGGAGCUAGUCCAACUGACUCAACAACAACAAUAUCAACAGUAGCUGUGGAUGGAGUUAGUCCAACUGACUCAAUAACAACAAUAACAACAGUAGCUGUGGAUGGAGCUAGUCCAACUGACAACAAUAACAACAAUAUCAACAGUAGCUGUGGAUGGAGUUAGUCCAACUGACUCAACAACAACAAUAUCAACAGUAGCUGUGGAUGGAGCUAGUCCAACUGACAACAAUAACAACAGUAGCUGUGGAUGGAGCUAGUCCAACUGACAACAAUAACAACAAUAUCAACAGUAGCUGUGGAUGGAGCUAGUCCAACUGACUCAACAACAACAAUAUCAACAGUAGCUGUGGAUGGAGCUAGUCCAACUGACUCAACAACAACAACAGUAGCUGUGGAUGGAGCUAGUCCAACUGACUCAACAACAACAAUAUCAACAGUAGCUGUGGAUGGAGUUAGUCCAACUGACUCAACAACAACAAUAUCAACAGUAGCUGUGGAUGGAGCUAGUCCAACUGACUCAAUAACAACAGUAGCUGUGGAUGGAGUUAGUCCAACUGACUCAACAACAACAACAGUAGCUGUGGAUGGAGUUAGUCCAACUGACUCAACAACAACAACAACAGUAGCUGUGGAUGGAGCUAGUCCAACUGACUCAACAAUAACAACAGUAGCUGUGGAUGGAGCUAGUCCAACUGACUCAACAACAACAAUAUCAACAGUAGCUGUGGAUGGAGCUAGUCCAACUGACUCAACAACAACAAUAACAACAGUAGCUGUGGAUGGAGCUAGUCCAACUGACUCAACAACAACAAUAUCAACAGUAGCUGUGGAUGGAGUUAGUCCAACUGACUCAACAACAACAAUAUCAACAGUAGCUGUGGAUGGAGUUAGUCCAACUGACUCAACAAUAUCAACAGUAGCUGUGGAUGGAGCUAGUCCAACUGACUCAACAACAACAAUAUCAACAGUAGCUGUGGAUGGAGUUAGUCCAACUGACUCAACAACAACAAUAACAACAGUAGCUGUGGAUGAAGCUAGUCCAACUGACAACAAUAACAACAAUAUCAACAGUAGCUGUGGAUGGAGUUAGUCCAACUGACUCAACAACAACAAUAUCAACAGUAGCUGUGGAUGGCGCUAGUCCAACUGACAACAAUAACAACAGUAGCUGUGGAUGGAGCUAGUCCAACUGACAACAAUAACAACAAUAUCAACAGUAGCUGUGGAUGGAGCUAGUCCAACUGACUCAACAACAACAAUAUCAACAGUAGCUGUGGAUGGAGCUAGUCCAACUGACUCAAUAACAACAACAGUAGCUGUGGAUGGAGCUAGUCCAACUGACUCAACAACAACAAUAUCAACAGUAGCUGUGGAUGGAGUUAGUCCAACUGACUCAACAACAACAAUAACAACAGUAGCUGUGGAUGGAGCUAGUCCAACUGACUCAAUAACAACAGUAGUUGUGGAUGGAGUUAGUCAAACUGACAACAAUAACAACAGUAGCUGUGGAUGGAGCUAGUCCAACUGACUCAACAACAACAAUAUCAACAGUAGCUGUGGAUGGAGCUAGUCCAACUGACUCAACAACAACAAUAACAACAGUAGCUGUGGAUGGAGCUAGUCCAACUGACUCAACAACAACAAUAUCAACAGUAGCUGUGGAUGGAGCUAGUCCAACUGACUCAACAACAACAAUAACAACAGUAGCUGUGGAUGGAGUUAGUCCAACUGACUCAACAACAACAAUAUCAACAGUAGCUGUGGAUGGAGUUAGUCCAACUGACUCAAUAACAACAAUAUCAACAGUAGCUGUGGAUGGAGCUAGUCCAACUGACUCAACAACAACAAUAUCAACAGUAGCUGUGGAUGGAGCUAGUCCAACUGACAACAAUAACAACAGUAGCUGUGGAUGGAGCUAGUCCAACUGACAACAAUAACAACAAUAUCAACAGUAGCUGUGGAUGGAGCUAGUCCAACUGACUCAACAACAACAAUAUCAACAGUAGCUGUGGAUGGAGCUAGUCCAACUGACUCAAUAACAACAACAGUAGCUGUGGAUGGAGCUAGUCCAACUGACUCAACAACAACAAUAUCAACAGUAGCUGUGGAUGGAGUUAGUCCAACUGACUCAACAACAACAAUAACAACAGUAGCUGUGGAUGGAGCUAGUCCAACUGACUCAAUAACAACAGUAGCUGUGGAUGGAGUUAGUCCAACUGACUCAACAAUAACAACAGUAGCUGUGGAUGGAGCUAGUCCAACUGACUCAACAACAACAAUAUCAACAGUAGCUGUGGAUGGAGCUAGUCCAACUGACUCAACAACAACAAUAUCAACAGUAGCUGUGGAUGGAGCUAGUCCAACUGACUCAACAACAACAAUAUCAACAGUAGCUGUGGAUGGAGUUAGUCCAACUGACUCAACAACAACAAUAACAACAGUAGCUGUGGAUGGAGUUAGUCCAACUGACUCAACAACAACAAUAUCAACAGUAGCUGUGGAUGGAGUUAGUCCAACUGACUCAAUAACAACAAUAUCAACAGUAGCUGUGGAUGGAGCUAGUCCAACUGACUCAACAACAACAAUAUCAACAGUAGCUGUGGAUGGAGUUAGUCCAACUGACUCAAUAACAACAAUAUCAACAGUAGCUGUGGAUGGAGUUAGUCCAACUGACUCAACAAUAUCAACAGUAGCUGUGGAUGGAGUUAGUCCAACUGACUCAACAACAACAAUAUCAACAGUAGCUGUGGAUGGAGCUAGUCCAACUGACAACAAUAACAACAGUAGCUGUGGAUGGAGCUAGUCCAACUGACAACAAUAACAACAAUAUCAACAGUAGCUGUGGAUGGAGCUAGUCCAACUGACAACAAUAACAACAAUAUCAACAGUAGCUGUGGAUGGAGCUAGUCCAACUGACUCAACAACAACAAUAUCAACAGUAGCUGUGGAUGGAGCUAGUCCAACUGACUCAACAACAACAAUAUCAACAGUUGCUGUGGAUGGAGUUAGUCCAACUGACUCAACAACAACAAUAACAACAGUAGCUGUGGAUGGAGCUAGUCCAACUGACUCAAUAACAACAGUAGUUGUGGAUGGAGUUAGUCAAACUGACAACAAUAACAACAGUAGCUGUGGAUGGAGCUAGUCCAACUGACUCAACAACAACAAUAUCAACAGUAGCUGUGGAUGGAGCUAGUCCAACUGACUCAACAACAACAAUAUCAACAGUAGCUGUGGAUGGAGCUAGUCCAACUGACUCAACAACAACAAUAUCAACAGUAGCUGUGGAUGGAGUUAGUCCAACUGACUCAAUACACAAUAUCAACAGUAGCUGUGGAUGGAGCUAGUCCAACUGACUCAACAACAACAAUAUCAACAGUAGCUGUGGAUGGAGUUAGUCCAACUGACUCAACAACAACAAUAACAACAGUAGCUGUGGAUGGAGUUAGUCCAACUGACUCAACAAUAUCAACAGUAGCUGUGGAUGGAGUUAGUCCAACUGACUCAACAACAACAAUAUCAACAGUAGCUGUGGAUGGAGCUAGUCCAACUGACCCAACAACAAUAACAACAGUAGCUGUGGAUGGAGCUAGUCCAACUGACAACAAUAACAACAAUACAACAGUAGCUGUGGAUGGAGUUAGUCCAACUGACUCAAUAACAACAAUAUCAACAGUAGCUGUGGAUGGAGCUAGUCCAACUGACUCAACAACAACAAUAUCAACAGUAGCUGUGGAUGGAGCUAGUCCAACUGACUCAACAACAACAAUAUCAACAGUAGCUGUGGAUGGAGUUAGUCCAACUGACUCAACAACAACAAUAUCAACAGUAGCUGUGGAUGGAGCUAGUCCAACUGACUCAAUAACAACAGUACCUGUGGAUGGAGUUAGUCCAACUGACUCAAUAACAACAACAGUAGCUGUGGAUGGAGCUAGUCCAACUGACUCAACAACAACAAUAUCAACAGUAGCUGUGGAUGGAGCUAGUCCAACUGACUCAACAACAACAAUAACAACAGUAGCUGUGGAUGGAGCUAGUCCAACUGACUCAACAACAACAAUAACAACAGUAGCUGUGGAUGGAGUUAGUCCAACUGACUCAACAACAACAAUAUCAACAGUAGCUGUGGAUGGAGUUAGUCCAACUGACUCAAUAACAACAAUAUCAACAGUAGCUGUGGAUGGAGCUAGUCCAACUGACUCAACAACAACAAUAUCAACAGUAGCUGUGGAUGGAGUUAGUCCAACUGACUCAAUAACAACAAUAACAACAGUAGCUGUGUAUGGAGUUAGUCCAACUGACAACAAUAACAACAAUAUCAACAGUAGCUGUGGAUGGAGUUAGUCCAACUGACUCAACAACAACAAUAUCAACAGUAGCUGUGGAUGGAUCUAGUCCAACUGACAACAAUAACAACAGUAGCUGUGGAUGGAGCUAGUCCAACUGACAACAAUAACAACAAUAUCAACAGUAGCUGUGGAUGGAGCUAGUCCAACUGACUCAACAACAACAAUAUCAACAGUAGCUGUGGAUGGAGCUAGUCCAACUGACUCAAUAACAACAACAGUAGCUGUGGAUGGAGCUAGUCCAACUGACUCAACAACAACAAUAUCAACAGUAGCUGCGGAUGGAGUUAGUCCAACUGACUCAACAACAACAAUAUCAACAGUAGCUGUGGAUGGAGCUAGUCCAACUGACUCAAUAACAACAGUAGUUGUGGCUGGAGUUAGUCAAACUGACAACAAUAACAACAGUAGCUGUGGAGGGAGUUAGUCCAACUGACUCAACAACAACAAUAUCAACAGUAGCUGUGGAUGGAGUUAGUCCAACUGACUCAACAACAACAAUAUCAACAGUAGCUGUGGAUGGAGUUAGUCCAACUGACUCAACAACAACAAUAACAGCAGUGGCUGUGGAUGGAGCUAGUCCAACUGACUCAACAAUAACAACAGUAGCUGUGGAUGGAGUUAGUCCAACUGACUCAAUAACAACAAUAUCAACAGUAGCUGUGGAUGGAGCUAGUCCAACUGACUCAAUAACAACAGUAGCUGUGGAUGGAGUUAGUCCAACUGACUCAACAAUAACAACAGUAGCUGUGGAUGGAGUUAGUCCAACUGACUCAAUAACAACAGUAGCUGUGGAUGGAGUUAGUCCAACUGACUCAAUAUCAACAGUAGCUGUGGAUGGAGUUAGUCCAACUGACUCAAUAUCAACAGUAGCUGUGGAUGGAGUUAGUCCAACUGACUCAAUAUCAACAGUAGCUGUGGAUGGAGUUAGUCCAACUGACAACAAUAACAACAAUAUCAACAGUAGCUGUGGAUGGAGUUAGUCCAACUGACAACAACAACAUCAACAGUAGCUGUGGAUGGAGUUAGUCCAACUGACUCAAUAACAACAAUAUCAACAGUAGCUGUGGAUGGAGUUAGUCCAACUGACUCAACAACAACAAUAACAGCAGUAGCUGUGGAUGGAGCUAGUCCAACUGACAACAAUAACAACAAUAUCAACAGUAGCUGUGGAUGGAGUUAGUCCAACUGACUCAACAACAACAUCAACAGUAGCUGUGGAUGGAGUUAGUCCAACUGACUCAACAACAACAAUAUCAACAGUAGCUGUGGAUGGAGUUAGUCCAACUGACUCAACAACAACAAUAUCAACAGUAGCUGUGGAUGGAGCUUGUCCAACUGACUCAACAACAACAAUAACAACAGUAGCUGUGGAUGGAUCUAGUCCAACUGGCAACAAUAACAACAGUAGCUGUGGAUGGAGCUAGUCCAACUGACUCAACAACAACAAUAUCAACAGUAGCUGUGGAUGGAGUUAGUCCAACUGACUCAACAACAACAAUAUCAACAGUAGCUGUGGAUGGAGUUAGUCCAACUGACUCAACAACAACAAUAUCAACAGUAGCUGUGGAUGGAGUUAGUCCAACUGACUCAACAACAACAAUAACAACAGUAGCUGUGGAUGGAGUUAGUCCAACUGACUCAAUAACAACAAUAACAACAGUAGCUGUGGAUGGAGUUAGUCCAACUGACUCAAUAACAACAAUAACAACAGUAGCUGUGGAUGGAGUUAGUCCAACUGACUCAACAACAACAAUAACAACAGUAGCUGUGGAUGGAGUUAGUCAUCAUGCUGGUCUCUCACUGCUGGCCUGUCCAGUCCCUGAUCCCUCUCUGUCUCGUAGAAUGGAGUGCAGUAUACCACAGCUCUCUGCCUGGCUGGCUGGAGACCAAGUCAGAUGUGGACUGGAUUCCACCCACAAGGCUUCGGCCCAC
Molecule: long non-coding RNA, 8003 nt
Filed under: Salmo salar (Atlantic salmon)
Lineage: Eukaryota; Metazoa; Chordata; Actinopteri; Salmoniformes; Salmonidae
Description: lncRNA (ENSSSAG00000091799.1)
Source: RNAcentral